This is a long non-coding RNA of Phodopus roborovskii (desert hamster), 196 nucleotides long. RefSeq lists it as uncharacterized. The transcript has 3 exons. Lineage: Eukaryota; Metazoa; Chordata; Mammalia; Rodentia; Cricetidae. The record is from RefSeq and is a predicted model, not a curated record.
UCCAGUUCUCCUUCACGCAGUGGCAGGUGCAGGAAAUGGAGGCCGUUUUCCAAGAGACCCAGUACCCGGAUGUGCUCACAAGGAGGGUGCUUGCCAGGAACAUGAAUGUGCCUGAAGACAAAAUACAGAAUUGGUUUAACAACAGGCGAGCCAAACAGAGGGCCAGAGAGAAGAAAGCAAUGAUCAGGAGGGCGCC